UUUUUCCUAGAACUUUUCAAGAACCAAACAUAGCCUAAGUAAAUGCAUAGGUUGAUAUUUGGAAUUAGAGUAUGAGUUUAACUGCCUAAUAUGGCCAGAGUGAUAGUUGUAAUGAGAUGAAAAUGUGAACUGACGAUGUAAAAACCCCUUACUUUCGUUAAAAAACAAGAUUUUCUACUCCCUUUAUACUAGAGGUAACUUCCCUUUCCAUAACUAUUUUUGUUGUUGCUAUGGACUUUUUCUUUGUCCUAGGUUUGCCGUUCUUAGCUUUUUGUCG
RNAcentral lists this long non-coding RNA (277 nucleotides) under Vitis vinifera (wine grape). Its description in RNAcentral is "long non-coding RNA (VVIN_LNC002362)". The record is from RNAcentral. Lineage: Eukaryota; Viridiplantae; Streptophyta; Magnoliopsida; Vitales; Vitaceae.